This 1279-nucleotide long non-coding RNA is filed under the name Sparus aurata (gilthead seabream). RNAcentral describes it as "lncRNA (ENSSAUG00010019623.1)". Lineage: Eukaryota; Metazoa; Chordata; Actinopteri; Spariformes; Sparidae. The record is from RNAcentral.
UAGACAGCUGGUAGACAUGCACAGAGAUGGCCUCUGUUCUCAUAAGUCCGCCUAAAAAUGAAUGGUAUAACCUUUCAGGCCUUGUUUUGAGAGGGCGUGGCCAGACACCACAUUGCAUGCUAGAAUGGUAGACCCUUAUAGAUAAUCUAUGGCUAGACCUCUCCUUGCCUUCCUCUUCUUUCACCCCGUCUUCCCUCUCUCUCUCUCUCUCAUUUCCUGCUGUAUUCCCACCCUGCCUGCUGUUGUGUUCUCCAUCCUCUAUCUCAGUCCUUCAUUCCUCUUUUAUUUUAUUUUUUGUAGCCUAGUUUUUACUUUGUUUGUUUUACAAACGUGCAUGCACAGGCAUCACUAAAUUGUUGAUGUUUUUAAAAAGAAUAUUUUGUUGCUGAGGCCAUGCAAAGUGUUUUGAAUAUUGCCCUUAUAUGUGGAAAAUGUCUUCUGAAUGCUUUACAUAAUUUCUGCUGUAAAAUGAAAUCAGAAUAAAAAGAAAAUUUGCACUUUAACUUAUUUUUUCUUUUGCCUGAUUUUUAUUUCUGCAAGAGAAACGUUCAGUCUGUCUUGUCAAGCAUGCUGUCUGUUUAGGCUGCAGGGUGAAAUCUCUACAAAUAAACACGACAGUGUCCUGAAAAUAACAGAAAAUAAACGGUUUGGUAUAGUGACUUGCCCUUAUUCUGACAUCUUAUAUUUCUGGAUUAAAAUGUUCCAUUUACAGGACUGACUGGCAUUUUGAGAUUGGAGUGCAGCAGUGGAAGUGAACCUGGAUGAGGUGAUUAAAGUAGAUAACUUUCAAAGUUGUAGAGUGGCAGGAUUGUUACUUUUUAAUGUACUCAAACAAAAAUGUUAAUUCAGGUAAAUUCUUGCAACCAUGACAUUGUGAAGUCUGUGGACGGUCGAUUGAACAGGCAGGCCAGAACUGAGAAGACAGGCUCAAUCUAAACCCUGAUCAAAAGAGGGAUUAAGCCAUACUGUUAAAGCCAACAUUAUGAAUAUGUAUUUGCUCCAUAAAUACACGUUUGUGCUUAUGAGUUUAAGGGGUCGUCCAUGGAAGCAGAUUACAAAUUUUCAAUAUAAUCUUAUUUAUGAAUAAUUGAGUCGGCAACAUUCAUGAAAAAGAUUUAUUUUAAGCCUAAAUUCACAUAUAAACCUCAAUUUAAACCCUGAUCAAAAGAGAGAUUAAGCUUUUUUGUGUAUGCCAACAGUAUGAAUAUGUAUUUGCACCGUAAGCACACCUUUGUGCCUAUGGGUUUGUGGGAUAUCCGUGGAAGCAGAUUACAAGUUU